GGUUUCAUAGUGUAGUGGUCAUCACGUCUGCUGUACACGCAGAAGGUCCUGGGUUCAAGACCCAGUGGAACUG
Molecule: non-coding RNA, 73 nt
Organism: Entelurus aequoreus (snake pipefish)
Lineage: Eukaryota; Metazoa; Chordata; Actinopteri; Syngnathiformes; Syngnathidae
Source: the annotation of a RefSeq genome assembly